AUCAGCAAAAUUUAUCCCAUCUAAGGAGUAAUGCAGUUGGUUGCUGUAAUUCAAUUAUUACUGCUUUUCAUCAUGAACAUUUCAGUGUGCUUCUUAGAAAAGAGCACGCAAGAUGCCCACGGACAUCCUUGAGUCAAUGCUGGAUUUUGUCCAUGACAGAAGCUAGGGACUUCCACCAACGUUCUGCUCCAUCCUCAUCUUCAAGACGUACGCUCAUCCAGCUUCACUGCUUCAGCGCUUCUUGUGCUGCUACACAACUUUUCUUGCUUCACUGGCGAGUUGGAUCACUUCAGUUGCUGUGACACACCUGCAGUCACUCACCAAGGGAUUAUGGCCAGGUAUUGCAGAGGAGACGUUGAGAAGACCGACACCAAAAACGUCGCCAGUGUGUCAAAAAUGUCAGCUGCGGAUCAUCAUUUGUUGUUGUUAAUAUGUUUUGUGUUAGUUAACCCGUUGGCUGCCACGCCUUUGUUCCCCCCAUGUUAGCUCUGUAGCACGGGCCCGCGCUGUUCGGUCUCGUGGUUUAUUUGCCACGGGGUCGGACAGUUGCACCAGCCCCAGAUUCGCCGAAAGGCCCUGUUAGGCAAUGCACCAUAGGGACUUCCCCCUUGUCGAUACGGUGAUGGAUUCUAGAGGUUGUGCAUUCCAUCUUCUCCUGUCACCGUGUCAGCCCGGACUUGUCAGCAAUGGCAAGU
RNAcentral lists this long non-coding RNA (695 nucleotides) under Daphnia pulicaria. Its description in RNAcentral is "uncharacterized LOC124336598". Lineage: Eukaryota; Metazoa; Arthropoda; Branchiopoda; Diplostraca; Daphniidae. The record is from RNAcentral.